Long non-coding RNA from Sipha flava (yellow sugarcane aphid), 1381 nucleotides. RefSeq lists it as uncharacterized. The record is from RefSeq and is a predicted model, not a curated record. Lineage: Eukaryota; Metazoa; Arthropoda; Insecta; Hemiptera; Aphididae. The transcript has 2 exons.
AUUUAUUUUUUUUCGUUCCACAGAAACCUUCGUCAUGACAUCGCCCGCAGCAUCACCGCAGAAACCGGCCAUCACCAACUCCACCGCGUCUCCGGCCCGUUUGCCGAGCGCGCAACCGACGCCAUCGCACAACUCGCAACCUGCCGCCGCAGCCGCGAUCGCGCAGACCAUCCAGGGCAAAUGGCAGUGCGCCCUCCGAGACAACCCGGUGAUGGCCAACGGGACAAUGGCCUGGACGCGGGUGUGGAGAUUCUCCAAGCUCCUGCUGCAGACCGGAUGUUAGAGGACGAGACGGCCACGCAAUUUUAGACUAAAUAGUUGUUUAAUUUUUCUCUCUCUUUCUUAGUAUCUCCCCAAUUUUAAGCAAAAAAAAAAAAAAAUAAAUAAAUAAAAAAAAAUCUGUACUCAAUCACUAAUAAUAUAUUACACAUUAUAGUCCGUACGCGUUGUGGCACGCGGAUAAAAAGAAACAUCAUGCAAGCAACGGCCGGGUCCACGCACGUCGAGAAAUCGUAUAAACGAAAAAACAAACAGGACCGGGUGUGCUGAUCCUGCAGCGAGGAACACGACGGCAGAUCCGCACCGUUCGAGACGUAAGGAUUUGAAAAUUAAUUAAAAUAAGAUAUCACACCGAUAUCCGUUUACGCGCCACGUGUUGCGUAGACCGUCAAUAUUAUUAUCAUCGACGAUCAUUAACGCGGUUUUCGUUUGCUGCACGGAUUGCUGUCAUCGUAAUAAUAAUGCGUUCUUCUCAACGUGUUCGGGAGGAACGACCACCUACUCCACCAGGACGAUGGCAUUACCUCUGCGACGGCGACAACGUACCACGGGCUUUUUUUUUUUUUUAAUGUUACAACACACCAAUUGAAACUCUCAAGGCGCACCGGUGGUACUGAUCGACAUCUUCACCCCGUGUUCAACGUACGCGACUGCGGACGACACCCGGCAACUGUACGAUUCGAUCGAAUAAUAUUACAUUAUAUUGUAUGGAAACAAUACGCGAAAUUAAACAUUACAGAUUAGGCAAUUUAUUAUAAUUAUUAUUAUUAUUAUUAUUAUUAACAUUGUUGUUGUUGUUGUUAUUAUGACAGGGACGCGUACACAUAUUAUUAUAAUACACACAACAGUGCUGUGCAAUUACUAUACUUAUAGAUUUGUGAAUGAUGUGUUCUAGUUAACAUAUUACUAUUGUGCAAUUAGAGAGACUGUUUAGGUUUUCGUGUCCUCCUCGUAGCAAAAAUUAUGAUAAACAUGACCGUUACCCGUAAUUUUUAGGCGUAACUACCGAUUUUACCUUCAUCUCGAGUAUACAGUACUAUAAAUAUAAAUACACGUAGUGUUAAGCGUUUUUUUUUUUUUCACAAGUCUAGACUCGUCGCGA